Molecule: ribosomal RNA, 254 nt
Filed under: uncultured bacterium
Lineage: Bacteria
Description: partial 16S ribosomal RNA
Rfam family: Bacterial small subunit ribosomal RNA
Source: RNAcentral
UACAGAGGUCUCAAGCGUUGUUCGGAUUCAUUGGGCGUAAAGGGUGCGUAGGUGGCGCUGUAAGUCGGGUGUGAAAUUUCGGAGCUUAACUCCGAAACUGCAUUCGAUACUGCGGUGCUUGAGGACUGGAGAGGAGACUGGAAUUCAUGGUGUAGCAGUGAAAUGCGUAGAGAUCAUGAGGAAGACCAGUGGCGAAGGCGGGUCUCUGGACAGUUCCUGACGCUGAGGCACGAAGGCCAGGGGGAGCAAACGGG